CACACAGCCUGUGGGACGUCAGCAACGUUUCCAGCCACAGAAAGCGGGAAGCAUAUCACAAGGAAUACAGGUUAAGGUGCAAGGCGAAACAUCCCAAAACAGGGUUUUUUGUUUUUUUUUAACAAAAAAAAAAAUUAUUGUUGUUGUUUUAUGAUCUCACAAAACACCCGCAGAAAAGAACAGCAACAGCAGCAACAGCCACACUUAGUGACGGAGGAAGAAACUGAAGCAGAGAAUGUUUCCUCUUUGGGGCGCACUCUCUGCUCCCUGCCAAAGACAGAGGACAAAUUUUGCCCAAGCGAGGGAAGCAGGGAUGCAACAGGUAGCUUUUGUUACGUAGCACAUGCAGGGGGUGGUUAGCCCAGUUCUUAAAAACAUCAAAAUGAAAGAGAGAGAGAGAAAGGGGGGUGGGGGGGUGGGAGAAUCACCCCAAACUUAGAAAACAUGGUUUCAAAGAGGUUGCAGCAAUUACAUUUUUUACGGCACUUUGUGAAAACUCUGCAUGCACCAGGUGGGGAGAGGUGAAGAAGUGAGGUGGGGUGUGGAAAGCGCUGGCCACUUAACAUCCCCCCACCCCCAAUCAUGCCAUGUCCCCAUCCCCCUCCUCCUUUAAAAGCAGCAACCUAACUGUGGAGUGCAAAAGAACAAACAAUCUGAAAGCGGGAUCCAUUGGUAACAAUUCAAGUCCUGGAGGUUUGGUGUUGGUUUUAAAGCAUGGGCUGUUGUGGUGGUGGUUUUGUCAAAGCUCCAAGCUUCUUUCCGGUUCUCUUGUCCCGCACGUUCCCCGUCCUGCAAAUGCCCAAGUCGCAGUGCUGGUGUCGGAAGUGAGAAUCUACUCCAAGCAGAAAGAGUCAGACGGGGUGAAGAGACACCAAGAAAAACUCAAAAUGUCCUUCCGGUUUUGGUUUUGGUUUUGGAAAUGCAUUUUCAUGCAGAAGCUGAGAAAGCGGUGAGGCAAGCGACAAUCCUCUACGAGGAACUUCGAUGAAGGCUGGUAGGUGAGUUCGCCAUGCAGGCACUUGGUUAAGCAAUGUUGGCUUUCGGUCUUGGUGCUUCUGUUCGGGAGCAGGUGCCCAGGGCAAAACAAUGCCAACCUUGAAGGAUUCAAAGCAGAGAGGAAGGGGGGAAGACAGAUGGGAGGAGGGAGGGAGGGAUGAAGAGGGGAAGAUGGGAGGGAGAGAGAUGGAUGGGAGGGAGGGAGGAAGUUGUAUGGAUGAGAGGAAGGGAGGAAGCAAGGCAGCAGGAUGGAUGAGAGGAAGGAAGGAUCACUGAGCCCACAAUCUGCAUUAUUCGUGUUUGAAAGAUCAACCAGCUCCACCCACGUUAAGUAGAGCAGCAGACAAGUUGCUCAGAGGCCAUCUGAGAUACAGCAUUGUGUCAUGAAUUUCCACCUCCUCUUUGUGCACACUGUCAGGCUGGGUGCAUUCCCAUAGCAGUUGUUAGCCUCGUGGUUAAAGAAUACAGACUCAGAAUCAAAUUGCAAAGCACCUAACUGGGUUCCGUUCUGAGUGGCCUGUUGGCUUGCAUAGCUUUCAGAUGGGUUAACAUUCUGCCCUAUGGGAUAUGGUGAAGCAGGGUAAGGCAGGAGGGGAGAGAUAAGGCCUUAAAAAAAGAGAAGAAAAUUGAACUUGAUGUUGGAAGCACAUACAGUCCAAAAGUCUCACCCCACAAGCGUUGCCUUUCCUUGGGGAGUUCCACAAAAACUACAAAUUCCUUGUGUGUCCAAUCACACUUGGCCAAUAAAAAAAAUUCUGCUAUUAUAAAGAGUUGUGCAGCUCUAUGGGAGAGACGGGAUCUUUUGCUGUGGCUGAUGUUGAAAGCUCACUUUGGCACUCGAAGAUACAACUCUGAAGUGACAGGUUAUGGUUUGGAGACAACUUUAUGGCACAGGCUUCCUUCUGAACAGCCAAAAUCGGUUUGCGAGGGGUCAGCACAGGCCAGGACAUUUCCUAUCCAAGGUGUUUGUUGCAGGAAGGAAAAUUCACAGCCACGAGUAAAAGGACUGGUUUGUUUUUUUCCCUAGAAAAUCAGGAUCCAUUUCUAUAGACAAACAGCGAAGUGCGUUUUAAUGUUCUGAUCUCAAAGCAAGCUGGAGAAACGGGCUUGGUUUACGUCCAUCUUCCCUGUCAUGCUGGAUAGAAAAACAACAUAAGGCUUGAAAAGGCAUCGGAGUUACACAACUGCGGGAAAUGAAACUAUCAUUCCUUCACUAUACAGCACGAAGAUUCUGGCCGCCCCUGGGAAACUCAGCCACCUGGAAAUCUUCUCGAUAUAAUGCCAAUUUGAGUUUUUGUGAUGAUCAAGCGAUCUACUGUUAAUAUUCCCAAAAUGUUGGACAGAGAUAAAGGAGGGAAAAUGAUGUAAACAGUGAGAAUUUGAGUGUAUGUUUUGGCAAUAGACUCAGCAUCGUAUAAAAAUACUUGAUAAUAAAAAAAUUUAUCCAUAUAUUAAAAAAAUCAGGACAUGAAUUGAUAGCAGAGUUCUUUUUUUUGUUGUUUGUGCUUGCAGGGCAGACAAAGACACUUCCUUUUACACACACCCUGUUCAUCAGAAAUGCAGCGUUCUUUAAAUUAAAAAGGAGGGGGAAAAUCACCACAUACGAAAUAUAUCAGAAGCAAUUCCAUCAAUCACAAUUCAUCAAAAAAAAAAAAAGCAGGCUUUUAUCAUCAGCAGCUCUCCGUAUUUCUAUAUCAGGAUAAAAGUGCACAGAAUUGUAAUCCACCACGAGGCUGUGAGCGAAAAUGAAAUGGUAUGCUUGGUGAACAUCAACAAAACCCCAAAACCCAGACAUUUUCAAACUAGAGAUCUGGACCACGACCAAGUCAAGUCAAGAGCAUUCUUGGUUUCCUUUCCUUUUUCCUUUUCUUUUCUGUUUGAAAGGUGGAAAAAAAAAAUGUCAUCGUUUUGCAGCAUUGAAGUAAGGCACUCGCCCACGGUGUGUUUCUGCUGCUUAAGGGGGCAGCAGCCAACUCACUUUUUAAACAGACGGAAGACAAGUUUCCUUUCGUGGUAAGUGCUGCAGGUACCUUACACCAUUAUUAUAUAGAAGGAGAAGGGAAAAAUUCACAUUUUUUUCCUCUUCUGUGGAGAAGGGGUAACUGUGUUAAAAUUCAUCUAUAAACUACUGGCUUCUUUUCUUCUUUGCCAAUUAAAGCAUUUUGUAUCCUAAAAUAUUAGUUUUUAUAAAUCUAGUCAUCUGUUUUAAGGCUGUACAAGUCCCAACUCCCCACCCUCCACCCCACCCUGAACCAAUAAGAAACAGCAUUUUUGAUUGGGGCAUUAAAAGGACUGGAACUCUUCUUAUUUCACAGUCAGAAGUCUAAUAUUGCGUCUCCUGUCUCUCUGCCCACCAUCCCAGUGAUGAAAACCUGUGGGGUUUUGUUUUGUUUUUUUUAAUUGAAGGACAGAUUCCCUCCCACGGUUUCAAAUAUUUUGCAUUUGUUUGGUCAGGUAACUGGAAAGCCUGAAAAACAAGAAAGUCUCUCUUGUUUUAAUACUACAAAGGUGUGUCCAUCCAGUUACGCAGUUCUCCUGCGUUGACCCUGGAAAACAAGGGUUGUUUCCUACAAGUGUUUUGUCCGCGGCCUGCAGUGAUCUCUCCAUUGGAUAACCACAAGGUGCUCCAAUGCUUCUUCUUCUUCUUCUUCUUUCUCUUCUUUCUUUCUUCCUCUCUUUCUUUCUUCCUCUCUUUUUUUUGUAUGGCUCCUACCAAUCAGAAAGCUUUCUGGAGUGAGGUAAAAAUGUUGGGUUUUCAAGCAAAGUACAUGGUACGUAAAGUGUCCUGAUGAACUUGCACAGCCUUGGCGAGGGCUUGAGGGUCUCGGCCGUUGCUCUGGCCGGAGAUGUGACUGCCUUCUCCACUAAAAGCACAGAGGAAAAGGGAUGGGGGGAUUAAAACAGAGCGUUCAUUAGGAAGACGAAAGGCAUGAGGAUGGCAGAUUUCUCUUGGCAGGGAAAUCACGGUCAGCAUAAAAUGGCACAGCUUUUAUUCCAGGGGACUUUAAGACUCCAACUCCCAGAAUUCCCCAGCCAGCAUCUUAAAGUUGCCAUGGUUGGAAACUCUGCUCUAGACAAACUGUACACCCCUGCUAGAUGAAAAGGUUUUUUUCCUCCUCCAGAAGUCUAAGGGCAUUGGAGACAAACUAGGGCAGGGGUGUCACACUCAAUUUCAUUGAUGGCCAAUCAGGGCUGUGGUUGGCCUCUGGGGGCCGGGUGGGCAUGGCUGACCAGGUAGGCGUGGCCAGCUUGACGCCACUCCCCAAACUGCUGGCAUGCUUCCUCUUUGCACUGGGUAGACCAGGCCGCAGCGAUGCAGGACGGCCCCGUGGCCUUC
Molecule: long non-coding RNA, 4333 nt
Organism: Naja naja (Indian cobra)
Lineage: Eukaryota; Metazoa; Chordata; Lepidosauria; Squamata; Elapidae
Source: Ensembl